Molecule: non-coding RNA, 492 nt
Organism: Paramuricea clavata
Lineage: Eukaryota; Metazoa; Cnidaria; Anthozoa; Malacalcyonacea; Plexauridae
Source: the annotation of a GenBank genome assembly
GGACGGGUUGCAAAAUUGAUGUCGCCACCUUAAGUAUCUCUAGAAGCCGAACGGUUAAGUAUUUUGGUGAGAUAAAUACUACGAUUAAUAUAAUAUGAUUGUUUUUCAACCCACUGAAAAAAAUUUGAACCUUUGAUUAAAUAUAGCGAAGUAAUACCACCAAAUAUGACAGGGGGCAUUUUUUUUGGGACACCCUGUAUUCUUGGUUUCAAUUUUACUAAAAGAGAUGCGCUAUCUAGUGUAUAUAAGAUAUCUAUGCAUGGUAUACCAACACGGAAAAUAUUUUAUAUUUGUUAAGUAUAACAUUCAUGUAGCGAGCAAUAUACGUAUAAUUCUUAAGUACUUAUAGCUUGUGAACGUUUUAAGGACCGUCUUAAAAAUUGUCUGAGUAUGGAAAUUGAGCAGAAUGAUUAAAUAUUAAAAUUGUGAUGUGUUUACAUAAAACGAAGGUGAAACAUAAAAACACAGAAGUUUAAGAAUUUUAUAUCAUGA